RNAcentral lists this transfer RNA (77 nucleotides) under Planctomycetaceae bacterium. RNAcentral describes it as "tRNA-Val". It matches the Rfam family "tRNA". Rfam says of the family: Transfer RNA (tRNA) molecules are approximately 80 nucleotides in length. Lineage: Bacteria; Pseudomonadati; Planctomycetota; Planctomycetia; Planctomycetales; Planctomycetaceae. The record is from RNAcentral.
GGGCGCAUAGCUCAGUUGGCUAGAGCACAUCCUUCACACGGAUGGGGUCCGGGGUUCGAGUCCCUGUGCGCCCACCA